RNAcentral lists this ribosomal RNA (424 nucleotides) under uncultured Lactobacillus sp. RNAcentral describes it as "bacterial SSU rRNA". It matches the Rfam family "Bacterial small subunit ribosomal RNA", at positions 358 to 774 of the family's 1533-position model. Lineage: Bacteria; Bacillati; Bacillota; Bacilli; Lactobacillales; Lactobacillaceae. The record is from RNAcentral.
GGAAUCUUCCACAAUGGACGAAAGUCUGAUGGAGCAAUGCCGCGUGAGUGAAGAAGGGUUUCGGCUCGUAAAACUCUGUUGUUAAAGAAGAACACCUUUGAGAGUAACUGUUCAAGGGUUGACGGUAUUUAACCAGAAAGCCACGGCUAACUACGUGCCAGCAGCCGCGGUAAUACGUAGGUGGCAAGCGUUAUCCGGAUUUAUUGGGCGUAAAGCGAGCGCAGGCGGUUUGAUAAGUCUGAUGUGAAAGCCUUUGGCUUAACCAAAGAAGUGCAUCGGAAACUGUCAGACUUGAGUGCAGAAGAGGACAGUGGAACUCCAUGUGUAGCGGUGGAAUGCGUAGAUAUAUGGAAGAACACCAGUGGCGAAGGCGGCUGUCUGGUCUGCAACUGACGCUGAGGCUCGAAAGCAUGGGUAGCGAACA